UGGGGAAUUUUGGACAAUGGGCGAAAGCCUGAUCCAGCAAUGCCGCGUGUGUGAAGAAGGCCUUCGGGUUGUAAAGCACUUUUGUCCGGAAAGAAAUCCUUGGCUCUAAUACAGUCGGGGGAUGACGGUACCGGAAGAAUAAGCACCGGCUAACUACGUGCCAGCAGCCGCGGUAAUACGUAGGGUGCAAGCGUUAAUCGGAAUUACUGGGCGUAAAGCGUGCGCAGGCGGUUUGCUAAGACCGAUGUGAAAUCCCCGGGCUCAACCUGGGAACUGCAUUGGUGACUGGCAGGCUAGAGUAUGGCAGAGGGGGGUAGAAUUCCACGUGUAGCAGUGAAAUGCGUAGAGAUGUGGAGGAAUACCGG
Molecule: ribosomal RNA, 365 nt
Filed under: uncultured bacterium
Lineage: Bacteria
Description: partial 16S ribosomal RNA
Rfam family: Bacterial small subunit ribosomal RNA
Source: RNAcentral